RNAcentral lists this ribosomal RNA (994 nucleotides) under Kocuria palustris. RNAcentral describes it as "bacterial SSU rRNA". It matches the Rfam family "Bacterial small subunit ribosomal RNA", at positions 56 to 1058 of the family's 1533-position model. The record is from RNAcentral. Lineage: Bacteria; Bacillati; Actinomycetota; Actinomycetes; Micrococcales; Micrococcaceae.
UGCAGUCGAACGCUGAAGCACCAGCUUGCUGGUGUGGAUGAGUGGCGAACGGGUGAGUAAUACGUGAGUAACCUGCCCUUGACUCUGGGAUAAGCCCGGGAAACUGGGUCUAAUACUGGAUGCUACAUGUCACCGCAUGGUGGUGUGUGGAAAGGGUUUACUGGUCUUGGAUGGGCUCACGGCCUAUCAGCUUGUUGGUGAGGUAAUGGCUCACCAAGGCGACGACGGGUAGCCGGCCUGAGAGGGUGACCGGCCACACUGGGACUGAGACACGGCCCAGACUCCUACGGGAGGCAGCAGUGGGGAAUAUUGCACAAUGGGCGAAAGCCUGAUGCAGCGACGCCGCGUGAGGGAUGACGGCCUUCGGGUUGUAAACCUCUUUCAGCAGGGAAGAAGCCACAAGUGACGGUACCUGCAGAAGAAGCGCCGGCUAACUACGUGCCAGCAGCCGCGGUAAUACGUAGGGCGCAAGCGUUGUCCGGAAUUAUUGGGCGUAAAGAGCUCGUAGGCGGUUUGUCGCGUCUGCUGUGAAAGCCCGGGGCUUAACCCCGGGUGUGCAGUGGGUACGGGCAGACUAGAGUGCAGUAGGGGAGACUGGAAUUCCUGGUGUAGCGGUGGAAUGCGCAGAUAUCAGGAGGAACACCGAUGGCGAAGGCAGGUCUCUGGGCUGUUACUGACGCUGAGGAGCGAAAGCAUGGGGAGCGAACAGGAUUAGAUACCCUGGUAGUCCAUGCCGUAAACGUUGGGCACUAGGUGUGGGGGACAUUCCACGUUUUCCGCGCCGUAGCUAACGCAUUAAGUGCCCCGCCUGGGGAGUACGGCCGCAAGGCUAAAACUCAAAGGAAUUGACGGGGGCCCGCACAAGCGGCGGAGCAUGCGGAUUAAUUCGAUGCAACGCGAAGAACCUUACCAAGGCUUGACAUAUACCGGAUCGUUCCAGAGAUGGUUCUUCCCCUUUGGGGUCGGUAUACAGGUGGUGCAUGGUUGUCGUCAG